CUCCAGAUGUCUUGGACUGUAACUCCCAUCAGACUCAGCCAGGUACUGGCUGGGACUGAUGGGAGUUGUAGUUCAAAGCUCCCGGAG
This is a non-coding RNA of Podarcis lilfordi (Lilford's wall lizard), 87 nucleotides long. The record is from the annotation of a GenBank genome assembly. NCBI's taxonomy places the organism in Eukaryota, Metazoa, Chordata, Lepidosauria, Squamata, Lacertidae.